Long non-coding RNA from Passer domesticus (house sparrow), 3563 nucleotides. RefSeq lists it as uncharacterized. Lineage: Eukaryota; Metazoa; Chordata; Aves; Passeriformes; Passeridae. The transcript has 2 exons. The record is from RefSeq and is a predicted model, not a curated record.
UUGGUGACACGAGGCCCUGAAGGGCCCUAACUGUCUCCAUGGUUCCAUCAGGCCCCACAGAGCCAUAAUGGUCUCUGGGUUCCAUGAAGCCCUGCUGCGUCACCACGGCCCCUUGGUUCCAUGGGCUCCAGUGGUGCCACAAUGAUCCCCUUUGGUUCCAUGAAGUCCCCACAGUGUCCCAGUGAUCUCCAUGGGAAAGAAAGAAUCCAGCCCCAGUGUUGGAGGGGCAGUCACCAGAGGCCAAGGCCAGCCAGACUUGAUGGUGCUGGCAGAUUUUGCCUGGGAUCAACCCUCGGAUAUACAGAAUUUUAGAGGUGGAAUCCCAAUUUCAGACAUGGACACCUGGAGGAAGAAGGAUGGUUCUUUACCAUAGGAAGGAAAGCACAGAGCCCAAGGGUUUCAAAGGCAGAAGAGGAGAGAGGUGGCUCCUGGGAGGCCAAGCCAGUCUCACUUGUUUUUCCUGGCAGCUUUUGUAAUGGAGGAAUCCUUGGAUAUAUGGAAUUUGGGAGGAGGAAUCUCAACUUUGACCACAGAUGCCUUGAGAAGAAGGACGGUUCUUUUCCAUAGGAAGGAAAGCACCAACCCCAGUGUUUGGAAAGCAGUGCUCUUCAAGUCUUCAGGGCUUGUGCAGCUGACUGGAGUCAGUUUGGAGUUAUAUUAAGGAGGAAGAUUUCAAACUACACCUCAUGACUUUUUUCUUUUAAUCAAGUGAGAUGUUGAGUGCCAGCAAGGUAAGCCUCCCCAAGCUACAAGGUCUGCCUUUGAUGUGUGAAGGGAUACCAGGCCACGCUACAUCCCUGCAAAUAAGAAACACAUCCAGUGGCAACUGAAGUGGGUAGCUACCGGACCAAGAAAUUAUGGAAGAGGUGCAAUUACACCAUUGGUUCUGUUUUUUGUAAGUGGGAUGAUAUGGGGAGAUGUCUCUCCUGAUAGUUUCUUUUUCUCUUGUAAUUUUGGGUCUUUCACCUUCUUCCCAUUUCAGACGGUAAUAAAACCUUACACAAAAGUCCAUUUUUACAGAGUUGAGAAUUUUUACCUCCUGGAGUUCAAGUGCUGCAUGCAGAAGCUUCCAUUAGUCCCAAGCAUCGACAGGUUGCACUUGCAUUUGCCUUUAGGAUUGUCAUCUCUCACACUGGGGGUGGAAUUGUCAGUUAGUGGCCAGACAUCUGUAGGCAACCCCACUAGGAAGGUGCAGAAGGGGUCGUCAGAGCUGACAACAGGCACAGGGUGUCUUGUUUCAUGGCUUUUGCUGGAGGUAUCCAUAUGUUGUGCUUUGGUUGUGGAGCUACCCAUCCACUCGUGAGGAGCAUGGUUGCAAACAGGCUGAGGAAGGUGAGUAGAAGCUUCUUAUAUGUCAUCUUCAAAAGAAUUGUCUAGUCCAGGUACUAGAGUCGCUGUCUGGUGGUUUUUGUCCUGGGGUGGACUUGGGGGUUCCUUUGGUGAAUCCACGCUCUGUGGCUGCAGGUAGGGCUUGAUGUUCUUAGCUGGGACACACGAAGGUCCUUUACCACGAAUGGUCUUGUUGUAGCAGUUUGGUCUUCAGGUCCUUUGAUGUUGAAGAGUUCUGCACUUUGGAGACUAUCACUGUCACCUCUGAUCCUGGACAAUCCCGCAUUAGCUCUGAGCACCCAGUUAGGAGGCCACUUGGAACGUGAGAUACUUGUCGCAUCUGCUCCCAUGUCCACAAGCCCUAUCAAAAUAAUAUGUUCAUUGGUAAGUUCCAGAGUGCAGGCGAUUUUUGGUUGAUCAUGACUUAUCACCUGGGUCCACAUCACUAGUGAAGCGUCACCAGCAUCCUGUUCAAGGAGUAAUAUGGCUUGGGCAAUUGUUAGUCAUUGGGGUGUAAAACAAGGUGGGUCAGGAGACAGGUCCAACACUGUAAUUUCUUUUUGUGAGGCGACUGAGAGUACAGAUGACAGUGUGAAAAAUCCAUCAGUCCUUGAUCAGCAGUUUCCAAAGAUUAAUAGUUCACCAAUCUUCGGGCCCCAUCUGUCCUGUGGAUAUUGCAUGGACAAAAUAGUCAGUUAAAACUAUUACAAGCAAAGCAGACUUUGCACUCACCAACUCCUAUUUUGUGCCUGGUGAUAAGGUGUUUGGCAACUGGGAGAUGAGGUGCUGGACUUCAGUGCUAUGGGAUCUUGCAGCGGCUACUGCUGACCUCUUGGUCUCUGACUCGCCCGGCUGCACAGGCCAGCACCGCCGGCAGCAGUGAGGUAUUUAAGGCGGAAUGCCUUCAGAAGGGCGAGAAACCCCCAGAGCCGUGAGGAGAGAAGCUGGGCUGCGUCCCGCAGGAGAAAAGGCUUUGGACCGCGCCGACAGGGAAAAAGGAGGUGUUUAUUGAUGGUGCAUCGGGCGCGGACAAAAAAGCUUGCUCGGCAAGGUCUUAUAACUAGAACACAGCGACCAAUCUAAAAUUUUGAGAGGAGGGAAUAACGCAUAACAAACAGCUCAGAUGUCCAGUGUAAAUAAAUUAGGGGUUGAACCCUGACCUCUAAACCAAUCAUUCAAUGUCCAGGCCAGAAUGUUCUGGAUGAGUGGGCAAGGACCCUGAAUAACAGACAGGCAGUUAGGGAGGAAUUUAGGAAAGAUAAAGUGUAGCUGACGGGACAAUUCAGAAGAGGGAGAGAGAGAAAGCCCGGGCAGAACCAUAAACAGGAAUGGGGGGUACAGGAAUAAACCAACUUAAAACUAAUGCACCCCAACAUCUCCCCCUUCUUUGUUUAAAAAAAAAGGAGGAGUGGGGUAACUUAAAAACCAUCUUCUGAGGAUUCAUCUGACCAGGGGUUGUCUUUUAAUUGCUCGUCUUCUUCGGUGCCUUCUUCUUCUUGACUUCCGUCCAUAACCUGUUCUUCGACUACCACUCGAUUCACUUCCACAGCAGACAUCGACUUAACGAUAAGCCCUUUAAGAAUUCUCCAAACGACAGAAAUUGCAAUUGAAAUGACCAGUAAAAUGAAAAGGACUAAAACAACAGUUUUCAAAAUAGAGACUACCCAACCCGAGAGACCCCAUCCCGUAAAGAUGUCUCCCAGCCAGUCUGAUGUUUUCUCCUUAAUGUCGCUGAUCAUUCCCCUCAUUUGGUCAAUAGAUCUUCUGGCGUCCCCGGCUUUGGAUGAUAAAUUGAGGCAGCAGAGCCCUUCGAACUCUUCACACCGGUGAUCAUGGAGCAGCAAUAGAAAAUCUAUUGCUGCCCGGUUUUGGAGAGUCGCCUGCCUUGUUAUUUCCUCGUCUGCUAGGAGGUUACUUAGAGCGGCUGAGGUAAAAUUGGCUUGUUUGGCUACCCAACACUCUAGGUGGGCUAAUUCACCUAGAGACUUCGCAAUAGACACCCAUGGGAGAAACACUGUCCAUGCGACACCUUCUGGCUUUGACCAAUGAACAAUAUUGGAGUCGCACUGUUCAUUUAAAUCUUUAAGAUCUCUUGCUACACGGGCCGAAUUGUGUGCGACAAUUUUCUGUUUCCAAUCUUUAAUUUGGGAAUUGUUGGGAGCAAACAGCGUCAGCCGUCCAAAUGUACACGGGCCUCCUAGAAGGCGAGGGGGGAUGCCUGCCCAUGCUCGGUC